This 73-nucleotide transfer RNA is filed under the name Treponema sp. RNAcentral describes it as "tRNA-Thr". It matches the Rfam family "tRNA". Rfam says of the family: Transfer RNA (tRNA) molecules are approximately 80 nucleotides in length. Their secondary structure includes four short double-helical elements and three loops (D, anti-codon, and T loops). The record is from RNAcentral. RNAcentral also lists the same sequence under 1 other name. Lineage: Bacteria; Pseudomonadati; Spirochaetota; Spirochaetia; Treponematales; Treponemataceae.
GCCAUCUUAGCUCAGUUGGCAGAGCACGUGACUUGUAAUCUCGAGGUCUUCGGUUCGAUUCCGAAAGAUGGCU